Molecule: non-coding RNA, 354 nt
Organism: Populus trichocarpa (black cottonwood)
Lineage: Eukaryota; Viridiplantae; Streptophyta; Magnoliopsida; Malpighiales; Salicaceae
Source: Rfam
CACUCAUAUUUUAUAUUGAUCCAAUAUGUAUUAUUUUGAGUAUAAUAUAACUCAAAAUAUCAUAAAGAUAAAAUUACACUUCGACCCCUCAUUUCCACAAAAUGAUAAGAUUCAUCCAAGGAGAACUAGGGUUCGAUUUCGGAGAGAGAGCCUGAGAAACGGUUACUACAUCCAAGGAAGGCAGCAGACGCGUAAAUUACCCAAUCCUGACACGGGGAGGUAAUGAUAAUAAAUAACAAUACCGGGCUCUUCGAGUCUGGUAAUUGAAAUGAGUACAAUCGAAAUCCCUUAACGAGGAUCCAUUGAAGGGCAAGUUUGGUGCCAACAGUCGCGGUAAUUCCAGCUCCAAUAGCG